CCACGACUGUGACGGUGGCUAACGGUGAUCGCGAGUGACGACGCCAAAUUGAGAGCAGAGCGCGAGUUCUUGGAAUCGCAGUAGGCGAAGGAAGAAGAUGAGCUUCGUGAGUGAGCUAUAUUACAAAACCCUAAUCUGGUAAGCCCUAAAACCAACUUCGUUUUACAUUAAAAAAAAAUUCUCGACGAACUCGCGAGUUUGAUAACCAUGUCUCUACCUAUCUCUGAAAGGCCUGAUAUAUAUACAUCUAUGAUAUGGAGCAAUCUAAUCAAGUUUCAAAGUGUUUCGCCAAUCAAUGACAAUACUUAAAAUAUUCCAGUUCUAUGAUCAAGUAAAAGGCUUACAGUUUUCCCAUUUGUGGCAGUGAUGGUAACAUUUUUGCCAUUAAUUUCUGUGACCUCACCAUCAAUCCAUGCAUCCUCAGGAUCCUCAACCCAAACCUGUGAUCCAACGAUGAUGUUCACAGGCGUUCCCUGAACCAAUCAUAACAAGGCAUGAAAAGUGUUAACAGACAUGAUCUGACACCAGAAAAGUUGAGAGGUGAUCAGCAACACAAAGAGAACAAUUUUUCUUGUUCAGAUUCUCACCAUGAUGUGCUAAACUCUUCUGAUCAUGAAAAUCAGAAUGGUGGCUUGUGGAACAAGACCAAUAUGAAUGAAUGAAUGAAUGCUUGUGAAAGAGUUGGUGGAUGCAAAAGGGUGGUGGAGUUGUAUAUGGAAGAAUGCUGGUGUGUGUUGCAGAGUUUUCAGAAAGCAGAAAGGAAU
This 764-nucleotide long non-coding RNA is filed under the name Vigna radiata. RNAcentral's name for it is "long non-coding RNA (VRAD_LNC004025)". Lineage: Eukaryota; Viridiplantae; Streptophyta; Magnoliopsida; Fabales; Fabaceae. The record is from RNAcentral.